RNAcentral lists this small RNA (115 nucleotides) under Marmota monax (woodchuck). The record is from RNAcentral. Lineage: Eukaryota; Metazoa; Chordata; Mammalia; Rodentia; Sciuridae.
GCCAGGUGUGGUGGUUGUGCCUGUAGUUCCAGCUACUGGGGAGGCUGAGGCAGGAGGAUAGAUGGAGCCCAGGGGUUGGAAGCCAGCCUGGGCAACAUAGCAAGACCCCCCUCUC